UCAGAUGUAGAACGGCCGGGCUUAACCUCGGAAUUAGCAUUUUGAAACUGGCAGGCUAGAGUCUGUAGAGGGGGUAGAAUUUCAGGUGUAGCGGUGAAAUGCGUAGAGAUCUGAAGGAAUACCAGUGGCGAAGGCGGCCCCCUCGGACAAAGACUGACGCUCAGAUGCGAAAGCGUGGGGAGCAAACAGGAUUAGAUACCCUGGUAG
This 207-nucleotide ribosomal RNA is filed under the name uncultured bacterium. RNAcentral's name for it is "partial 16S ribosomal RNA". It matches the Rfam family "Bacterial small subunit ribosomal RNA", at positions 588 to 793 of the family's 1533-position model. The record is from RNAcentral.